RNAcentral lists this ribosomal RNA (467 nucleotides) under uncultured bacterium. Its description in RNAcentral is "partial 16S ribosomal RNA". It matches the Rfam family "Bacterial small subunit ribosomal RNA", at positions 28 to 506 of the family's 1533-position model. The record is from RNAcentral.
GACGAACGCUGGCGGCGUGCUUAACACAUGCAAGUCGAACGGAAAGGCCCUGCUUUUGUGGGGUGCUCGAGUGGCGAACGGGUGAGUAACACGUGAGUAACCUGCCCUUGACUUUGGGAUAACUUCAGGAAACUGGGGCUAAUACCGGAUAGGAGCUCCUGCUGCAUGGUGGGGGUUGGAAAGUUUCGGCGGUUGGGGAUGGACUCGCGGCUUAUCAGCUUGUUGGUGGGGUAGUGGCUUACCAAGGCUUUGACGGGUAGCCGGCCUGGGAGGGUGACCGGCCACAUUGGGACUGAGGUACGGCCCAGACUCCUACGGGAGGCAGCAGUGGGGAAUAUUGCACAAUGGGCGGAAGCCUGAUGCGGCAACGCCGCGUGCGGGAUGACGGCCUUCGGGUUGUAAACCGCUUUCGCCUGUGACGAAGCGUGAGUGACGGUAAUGGGUAAAGAAGCACCGGCUAACUACGU